CCUACGGGAGGCAGCAGUGAGGAAUAUUGGUCAAUGGGCGAGAGCCUGAACCAGCCAAGUCGCGUGAAGGAUGACGGCCCUACGGGUUGUAAACUUCUUUUGUCAGGGAGCAAUUGGGUCCACGCGUGGGCGUAGCGAGAGUACCUGAAGAAAAAGCAUCGGCUAACUCCGUGCCAGUAGCCGCGGUCAUACGGAGGAUGCGAGCGUUAUCCGGAUUUAUUGGGUUUAAAGGGUGCGUAGGCGGAAUAUCAAGUCAGCGGUAAAAAUUCGGGGCUAAACCCCGUCGUGCCGUUGAAACUGAUGUUCUUGAGUGGGCGAGAGGUAUGCGGAAUGCGUGGUGUAGCGGUGAAAUGCAUAGAUAUCACGCAGAACUCCGAUUGCGAAGGCAGCAUACCGGCGCCCAACUGACGCUGAAGCACGAAAGCGUGGGUAUCGAACAGGAUUAGAUACCCCUGUAGUC
Molecule: ribosomal RNA, 460 nt
Filed under: uncultured bacterium
Lineage: Bacteria
Description: partial 16S ribosomal RNA
Rfam family: Bacterial small subunit ribosomal RNA
Source: RNAcentral